Molecule: ribosomal RNA, 252 nt
Filed under: uncultured bacterium
Lineage: Bacteria
Description: partial 16S ribosomal RNA
Rfam family: Bacterial small subunit ribosomal RNA
Source: RNAcentral
UACGUAGGUCCCGAGCGUUGUCCGGGUUUAUUGGGCGUAAAGCGAGCGCAGGUGGUUUAUUAAGUCUGGUGUAAAAGGCAGUGGCUCAACCAUUGUAUGCAUUGGAAACUGGUAGACUUGAGUGCAGGGGAGGAGAGUGGAAUUCCAUGUGUAGCGGUGAAAUGCGUAGAUAUAUGGAGGAACACCGGUGGCGAAAGCGGCUCUCUGGCCUGUAACUGACACUGAGGCUCGAAAGCGUGGGGAGCAAACAGG